CCUACGGGAGGCAGCAGUGGGGAAUUUUGGACAAUGGGGGCAACCCUGAUCCAGCCAUGCCGCGUGCGGGAAGAAGGCCUUCGGGUUGUAAACCGCUUUUGUCAGGGAAGAAAUCCUUUGAACUAAUACUUCGGAGGGAUGACGGUACCUGAAGAAUAAGCACCGGCUAACUACGUGCCAGCAGCCGCGGUAAUACGUAGGGUGCAAGCGUUAAUCGGAAUUACUGGGCGUAAAGCGUGCGCAGGCGGUUAUGCAAGACAGAUGUGAAAUCCCCGGGCUCAACCUGGGAACUGCAUUUGUGACUGCAUAGCUAGAGUACGGUAGAGGGGGAUGGAAUUCCACGUGUAGCAGUGAAAUGCGUAGAUAUGUGGAGGAACACCGAUGGCGAAGGCAAUCCCCUGGACCUGUACUGACGCUCAUGCACGAAAGCGUGGGGAGCAAACAGGAUUAGAUACCCUGGUAGUCCACGCCCUAAACGAUGUCAACUGGUUGUUGGGAGGGUUUCUUCUCAGUAACGUAGCUAACGCGUGAAGUUGACCGCCUGGGGAGUACGGCCGCAAGGUUGAAACUCAAAUGAAUUGACGGCUGAGACGNGCGAGACGACGACGAGGAGAGG
This 616-nucleotide ribosomal RNA is filed under the name uncultured bacterium. RNAcentral describes it as "bacterial SSU rRNA". It matches the Rfam family "Bacterial small subunit ribosomal RNA", at positions 338 to 946 of the family's 1533-position model. The record is from RNAcentral.